Molecule: ribosomal RNA, 503 nt
Filed under: uncultured bacterium
Lineage: Bacteria
Description: partial 16S ribosomal RNA
Rfam family: Bacterial small subunit ribosomal RNA
Source: RNAcentral
AUUGAACGCUGGCGGCCGGCUUAACACAUGCAAGUCGAGAGGGGUGAUGGUGCUUGCACUAUCACUUAGCGGCGGACGGGUGAGUAAUGCUUAGGAAUCUGCCUAUUAGUGGGGGACAACAUCUCGAAAGGGAUGCUAGUACAGCAUACGUCCUAUGGGAGAAAGCGGGGGGUGACUUGUGACCUUGCGCUAAUGGAUGAGCCUAAGUCGGAUUAGCUAGUUGGUGGGGUAAAGGCCUACCAAGGCGACGAUCUGUAGCGGGUCGGAGAGGAUGAUCCGCCACACUGGGACUGGGACACGGCCCAGACUCCUACGGGCGGCAGCAGUGGGGAAUAUUGGACAAUGGGGGGAACCCUGAUCCAGCCAUGCCGCGUGUGUGAAGAAGGCCUUAUGGUUGUAAAGCACUUUAAGCGAGGAGGAGGCUCUUUUGGUUAAUACCCAAGAUGAGUGGACGUUACUCGCAGAAUAAGCACCGGCUAACUCUGUGCCAGCCGCCGCAGUAA